UAUCUUCUGAGCAGGAGAAACUUCGUAGUAUGUUAAAAGAUGUGCUGAAGAAUCGGCCUAAUGUGGAUGUGGUGAAACUUCAAAAGUCUAAGGAAUGCAAAAAUACAUCAGAAAUCCAGAGGCUACAGAAUACGGGAAGGAGGGCAAGGGCUCUUGCCUGUAUUGGUGUUGAGCCUGGAAGAAAGCGAAAAGAAGAGGAGGCCUACGAUUGUUUUCCUGCAUAGCACGGACAAAUGCAAAGAGUGGUUGAGGCCAUUGCUUGAGGGAUUUGUUUCAAGGGGAGAUAUCGCUGUUGCAAUUGAUUCUCGAUACCAGGGAGAACGUGCAACCAGCUUGACAACCUAUCGAGAUGCCCUAGAGUUGUCAUGGAAAAAUGAUGAUACAAUGCCGUUCAUAUUUGAUACGGUCAGCUUGGAUGAUGAUAAGAAGCAAAAGACAAAAGGAUGAAUUCAUGAAGAAAUUGUGGAGCAAGCAUAUAUCCUUCGAAAUAUCAUUUAUGGUAUGGAGGGUACUAAAAAGGAGGAUUCCUUUUAAUGAGAUCCUGAACCAGCAUAGGAGUCCUUAGAAUAAAUUGAAGUCAAGCUGCUGCUGCUGCACAGUGCCUCAGCCAGAAACAAUUCAGCAUGUAUUUGUAGAGAGUGAAGCUCCAAAGCAGAUAUGGUACUAUUAUGGAAGACCUCUAGGUAUGGUACAUCAGGUCAUGUCCAUCAAGGAACUGCUGAACAGAUGGUGGAAUAUGAAUUGCAAAAAUCAAGUGCACAGAAUGAUAAUUCAAACUGUUCCUCUGAUGAUAAUAUCGGAGAUAUGGAAAAGUUGGUGCUCUUAUAAACAUGGGGAGCAAAAGAGGUUCUUGUAUAGUAGGAUGAUAUACCAAAUUCUGUAGAAUAUUAAAUCAGCUGUUGGUUUAGCUAUCCAAAACUGUGACUGGGCUAUGCCUUGGAUUAGGUUGUGUGCUACAGUAGAAAGACUGAAGCCUGUUUUAAAUGGAAGAAGGUAUGCUGGGAAAAACCACCAAUGGGUAAAGGUAAAUACAGUUGGGAGCUUUAUACAGGGGAGUGGAGAAGCUGGGAUUGGUGGACUUGUUAGAUAUGAUCAGGGAAACUUUAUCAUGGCUUUCCACAAGUUAACUGUAAGAGCAACAAUGAAGGAUCUAUCAAUGGCAACGAAAGGACGUGAAAUGAAAUUGUAUUUGGUUUCUACUUUUAGUUGGAAAACGAAGAGCUUGAUGGGCUGAAGUGUUUUUUAUCUUUGUAACUUCAUCGUUUUCCUUUUUUGAAACAAAUAAAAAUUAUGAAAAUUUUCCAUAUGAACCAAAACAAUGAAAAUUUUCAGUAUGAAUUUGAUAAACUUUUCAUGACAGCAAACUUUUUUAGGCACUGAAAGUG
Long non-coding RNA from Lycium ferocissimum, 1385 nucleotides. RefSeq lists it as uncharacterized. The transcript has 5 exons. NCBI's taxonomy places the organism in Eukaryota, Viridiplantae, Streptophyta, Magnoliopsida, Solanales, Solanaceae. The record is from RefSeq and is a predicted model, not a curated record.